UAGGUAACAAAACAGAUCGUGCCCAGCAUACCUAAAUAAAGGACUGAGCCUAAUGAAAACUGUUUUUAUGCCUUCGGUUGGGGCGACCAUGGAGUAAUAAAAAUCCUCCAAGUGAGAGGGAGCACUUCACCCUUUUCUACCUCUACAUCCACCCUUAUCUAUCCCUCCUAAAACCAAGAGCUACGACUCUAACUAGCAGAAAUUCUGACCUAAAUUGAUCCGGCUAUGCCGAUUAACGGACCAAGUUACCCCAGGGAUAACAGCGCAAUCCUCUUCUAGAGCCCAUAUCGACAAGAGGGUUUACGACCUCGAUGUUGGAUCAGGACAUCCUAAUGGUGCAACCGCUAUUAAG
RNAcentral lists this ribosomal RNA (352 nucleotides) under Sphyraena barracuda (great barracuda). RNAcentral describes it as "partial large subunit ribosomal RNA". It matches the Rfam family "Bacterial large subunit ribosomal RNA", at positions 2102 to 2569 of the family's 2925-position model. The record is from RNAcentral. Lineage: Eukaryota; Metazoa; Chordata; Actinopteri; Sphyraenidae.